Molecule: ribosomal RNA, 231 nt
Filed under: Goniopora tantillus
Lineage: Eukaryota; Metazoa; Cnidaria; Anthozoa; Scleractinia; Poritidae
Description: partial 28S rRNA
Rfam family: Eukaryotic large subunit ribosomal RNA
Source: RNAcentral
AUCUUGACCUCAGAUCAGGCAAGGCUACCCGCUGAAUUUAAGCAUAUUAAUAAGCGGAGGAAAAGAAACUAACAAGGAUUCCCUCAGUAACAGCGAGUGAAGCGGGAACAGCUCAAAUUUGAAAUCUCCGGCGCUUGCGUCGGCGAGUUGUAGUUGCGAGAAGCACUUUCUAGGCGGAUCGGUGGUGCYUWAGUUGCUUGGAACAGUACGUCAUAGAGGGUGACAACCCCG